This 465-nucleotide ribosomal RNA is filed under the name uncultured bacterium. Its description in RNAcentral is "bacterial SSU rRNA". It matches the Rfam family "Bacterial small subunit ribosomal RNA", at positions 29 to 502 of the family's 1533-position model. The record is from RNAcentral.
AGUGAACGCUGGCGGCGUGCUUAACACAUGCAAGUCGAACGAGAACGGAUUAUAGCUUGCUAUAAUUGUCAGCUAAGUGGCGCACGGGUGAGUAAUGUAUAGAUAACCUGCCCUCUAGAAAGGAAUAACAGUUGGAAACGACUGCUAAUGCCCUAUAUGCCUUUAAUACAUAAGUAUGCAAGGGAAACGCUUUAGUGCUAGAGGAUGGGUCUGUAUGGUAUCAGCUUGUUGGUGAGGUAAUGGCUCACCAAGACUAUGACGCCUAACUGGUUUGAGAGGAUGAUCAGUCACACUGGAACUGAGACACGGUCCAGACUCCUACGGGAGGCAGCAGUGGGGAAUAUUGCACAAUGGACGAAAGUCUGAUGCAGCAACGCCGCGUGGAGGAUGACACAUUUCGGUGCGUAAAACUCCUUUUAUAUAGGAAGAUAAUGACGGUACUAUAUGAAUAAGCACCGGCUAACU